This 484-nucleotide ribosomal RNA is filed under the name uncultured bacterium. Its description in RNAcentral is "partial 16S ribosomal RNA". It matches the Rfam family "Bacterial small subunit ribosomal RNA", at positions 30 to 507 of the family's 1533-position model. The record is from RNAcentral.
AUUGAACGCUGGCGGCAGGCCUAACACAUGCAAGUCGAGCGGAUGAAGGGAGCUUGCUCCUGGAUUCAGCGGCGGACGGGUGAGUAAUGCCUAGGAAUCUGCCUGGUAGUGGGGGAUAACGCCCGGAAACGGGCGCUAAUACCGCAUACGUCCUGAGGGAGAAAGUGGGGGAUCUUCGGACCUCACGCUAUCAGAUGAGCCUAGGUCGGAUUAGCUAGUUUGUGGGGUAAAGGCCUACCAAGGCGACGAUCCGUAACUGGUCUGAGAGGAUGAUCAGUCACACUGGAACUGAGACACGGUCCAGACUCCUACGGGAGGCAGCAGUGGGGAAUAUUGGACAAUGGGCGAAAGCCUGAUCCAGCCAUGCCGCGUGUGUGAAGAAGGUCUUCGGAUUGUAAAGCACUUUAAGUUGGGAGGAAGGGCAGUAAGUUAAUACCUUGCUGUUUUGACGUUACCAACAGAAUAAGCACCGGCUAACUUCGUG